This 491-nucleotide ribosomal RNA is filed under the name uncultured bacterium. RNAcentral's name for it is "partial 16S ribosomal RNA". It matches the Rfam family "Bacterial small subunit ribosomal RNA", at positions 28 to 507 of the family's 1533-position model. The record is from RNAcentral.
GAUGAACGCUAGCUACAGGCUUAACACAUGCAAGUCGAGGGGAAACGACAUUGAAGCUUGCUUCGAUGGUCGUCGACCGGCGCACGGGUGAGUAACGCGUAUCCAACCUGCCUCUGACCAAGGGAUAACCCGUCGAAAGUCGGCCUAAUACCUUAUGCAGUCGUCGGAAGUCAUCUGAUGACGACGAAAGAUUUCAUCGGUGAGAGAUGGGGAUGCGUCUGAUUAGCUUGUUGGCGGGGUAACGGCCCACCAAGGCAACGAUCAGUAGGGGUUCUGAGAGGAAGGUCCACCACAUCGGAACUGAGACACGGUCCACACUGCUACGGGAGGGAGCAGUGAGGAAUAUUGGUCAAUGGGCGAGAGCCUGAACCAGCCAAGUAGCGUGCAGGAUGACGGCCCUAUGGGUUGUAAACUGCUUUUAUGCGGGGAUAAAGUGAGGGACGUGUCCUUCAUUGAAGGUACCGAAUGAAUAAGGACCGGCUAAUUCCGUG